This 402-nucleotide ribosomal RNA is filed under the name uncultured bacterium. Its description in RNAcentral is "bacterial SSU rRNA". It matches the Rfam family "Bacterial small subunit ribosomal RNA", at positions 355 to 774 of the family's 1533-position model. The record is from RNAcentral.
UGGGGAAUAUUGGACAAUGGGCGCAAGCCUGAUCCAGCCAUGCCGCGUGAGUGAUGAAGGCCCUAGGGUUGUAAAGCUCUUUCACCGGUGAAGAUAAUGACGGUAACCGGAGAAGAAGCCCCGGCUAACUUCGUGCCAGCAGCCGCGGUAAUACGAAGGGGGCUAGCGUUGUUCGGAAUUACUGGGCGUAAAGCGUGCGCAGGCGGUUAUGCAGGACAGAUGUGAAAUCCCCGGGCUCAACCUGGGAACUGCAUUUGUGACUGCAUAGCUGGAGUGCGGCAGAGGGGGAUGGAAUUCCGCGUGUAGCAGUGAAAUGCGUAGAUAUGCGGAGGAACACCGAUGGCGAAGGCAAUCCCCUGGGCCUGCACUGACGCUCAUGCACGAAAGCGUGGGGAGCAAACA